CAUAGGAAUAGACGAUUUUUGAGAUAUAAUCUGGUAAGCAUGAGUAAUGAAGGGGAAGCAGACAUAUCGAUGGCCGACGGGAGGAGAGAGACGCAGCAAUCAAUUUAUAUAUAACUUUGUUGAAUGAAGUACUAGAUGAAUUUUACAGUAAAAAUAGGAGUAGCUUUUAGCUAGGUAACAAUUUCUCAUUGGAACUAAUUAC
RNAcentral lists this long non-coding RNA (202 nucleotides) under Nicotiana benthamiana. RNAcentral describes it as "long non-coding RNA (NBEN_LNC000310)". The record is from RNAcentral. Lineage: Eukaryota; Viridiplantae; Streptophyta; Magnoliopsida; Solanales; Solanaceae.